This 251-nucleotide ribosomal RNA is filed under the name uncultured bacterium. Its description in RNAcentral is "partial 16S ribosomal RNA". It matches the Rfam family "Bacterial small subunit ribosomal RNA", at positions 524 to 775 of the family's 1533-position model. The record is from RNAcentral.
UACGUAGGGUGCAAGCGUUAAUCGGAAUUACUGGGCGUAAAGCGUGCGCAGGCGGUUAUAUAAGACAGUUGUGAAAUCCCCGGGCUCAACCUGGGAACUGCAUCUGUGACUGUAUAGCUAGAGUACGGUAGAGGGGGAUGGAAUUCCGCGUGUAGCAGUGAAUGCGUAGAUAUGCGGAGGAACACCGAUGGCGAAGGCAAUCCCCUGGACCUGUACUGACGCUCAUGCACGAAAGCGUGGGGAGCAACAGG